GGUUGGUGCAUUUUUGGUGCAUAUUUUGUUGGCAAUAUAGGUCAGGUAAACAAGUAGAAUUUAUUAGAUCAAAUUAUUGGUGCAUAGUUGGUGCAUUCUUGGUGACAAAUAUUUAUACAAGGACUCUGUUUUAGAGAUCAAUGAAUUGAAGGCGAGAAGGAAUAUUAAAUACAAUAUGAAACGUUCGAAAGGAUUAUGUUUGUCUAUGCAGAUUUUGGCAGAUAUUGGGAGGACUAUAGUUGUGCUACAUUAUU
RNAcentral lists this long non-coding RNA (254 nucleotides) under Mytilus galloprovincialis (Mediterranean mussel). The record is from RNAcentral. Lineage: Eukaryota; Metazoa; Mollusca; Bivalvia; Mytilida; Mytilidae.